Molecule: ribosomal RNA, 287 nt
Filed under: Vibrio parahaemolyticus
Lineage: Bacteria; Pseudomonadati; Pseudomonadota; Gammaproteobacteria; Vibrionales; Vibrionaceae
Description: partial 23S ribosomal RNA
Rfam family: Bacterial large subunit ribosomal RNA
Source: RNAcentral
CCCCUAAGGCGAGGCCGAAAGGCGUAGUCGAUGGGAAACGGGUUAAUAUUCCCGUACUUCUUACAAUUGCGAUGGGGGGGACGGAGAAGGCUAGGUGGGCCUGGCGACGGUUGUCCAGGUUCAAGUGCGUAGGCUUAAGAGUUAGGUAAAUCCGGCUCUUUUUAAGGCUGAGACACGACGUCGAGCACCUACGGGUGUGAAGUCAUUGAUGCCAUGCUUCCAGGAAAAGCCUCUAAGCUUCAGAUUGUAAGGAAUCGUACCCCAAACCGACACAGGUGGUCGGGUAG